AAUAAUACGAAAUGCCAUAGUUUCAACAAACUUAAAUAAGUUCAUAAAAUUAGAAGAAAAAAAAAUAGAGAAAAAAAAUUAUAUAAUUUUCCGUGAACAAUGUGAAUAUUGCUUAACUAAUUUUUCUGUUAGUGGUCAUUUAAUUUUGACAAAAGAAUCCUUACUAUUUGAGCCAGAUUUAAGAGACAAACAUGUGAUUACAUAUGGUUUAGGUACAUAUCAAAUAUUUAUUGAUUUAUAUGACAUUUAUGAAUGUGCUCAUAUAGUUGUUCCAACUAAAGAUAUAUAUUUAUAUACUAAUGAAGACACUUGUGGAUUUAUUCAAGUGCUAUUAAAAAGUAUUUAUAAUAGAAUAUAUGAUGAACCAACAUUACGUAAUAGGAGUAGUUCUAGUUAUUCAACCAAUUUUAACCCAAACAAUGAUGCUAGUGAUGAUACUCCGAAUAAACAAAAAGGAGUAUCAUAUUAUAAAUAUAUAAGUAAAAGUUUAUCUUAUGUAUUUAAUUUAGCUCACCCAUUGAUACAAAACACGUCAUUAAAAGAUAAUAAAAAUGAUUAUAUUGAUAGACCUAAAACACCAGUAGAUAUAUCUAAACAAUUUGGAAAUAGUAAUGAUCAUAAUAUUUAUAACAGUAAUAAUAAUAAUAAUAAUAAUAGUAAUAAUAAUAACAAAAACGAAUAUGAAAACUUAGAAAUUUUAAACAAAACAAAACAAAAAAAAAUUAUUAAUUUUGAUAUAACAUCACCGAAAAAUAAUAACAUCAUUGAUCAUUUGCAUGAUAGUGAUAUGAAAAUUUAUCAAAAAUUUAAUGAAACAAAUUAUAAUCAGGUACAUUCCUCACAUCCUAAUAUAACUUAUAAAAAUAAUUUUAAUUUGGCUAACUAUUCGAGUUAUUCUAAUGAUUUGGAAGAUGAUUCCAAUGAACAAAAGAAAGAACAACAACAAGAUCGGCAACAUGAACAGCAUGAUCAGCAACAUGAGCAACAACAAGAACACCAACAAGAGCACCAACCAGAGCACCAACAAGAGCACCAACAAGAGCACCAACAAGAGCACCAACAAGAGCACCAACAAGGUUCACCAAAGGUGACAAACAGUAACGAAUGUUGUGUCGAUAGUGAUAUAAAAGAAGAAAACAUACAGGGAACGGAACUCCCAAGCAGUCCACUAGAAAAACUAACCGAAAAAGGGAAACCACAAGAAACACUUGAUAAUAUAAAACAAAAUAAAGAUGUUGACUUACGCAAACAAACGCAUAUGUUAGAUAAUAAUGAAAAUAACAAACGAGAAUAUAAUAUAAAAGAAGAAUCUGAAACACCUUAUUCUAGUAAUCCCGAUGGAAAUGAUAU
This 1350-nucleotide long non-coding RNA is filed under the name Piliocolobus tephrosceles (Ugandan red Colobus). RNAcentral describes it as "lncRNA (ENSPTEG00000007769.1)". The record is from RNAcentral. Lineage: Eukaryota; Metazoa; Chordata; Mammalia; Primates; Cercopithecidae.